Molecule: ribosomal RNA, 510 nt
Filed under: uncultured bacterium
Lineage: Bacteria
Description: partial 16S ribosomal RNA
Rfam family: Bacterial small subunit ribosomal RNA
Source: RNAcentral
GACGAACGCUGGCGGCGUGCUUAACACAUGCAAGUCGAACGAAGAGCGAUGGAAGCUUGCUUCUAUCAAUCUUAGUGGCGAACGGGUGAGUAACGCGUAAUCAACCUGCCCUUCAGAGGGGGACAACAGUUGGAAACGACUGCUAAUACCGCAUACGAUCUGACCUCGGCAUCGAGGAUAGAUGAAAGGUGGCCUCUACAUGUAAGCUAUCACUGAAGGAGGGGAUUGCGUCUGAUUAGCUAGGUGGAGGGGUAACGGCCCACCAAGGCGAUGAUCAGUAGCCGGUCUGAGAGGAUGAACGGCCACAUUGGGACUGAGACACGGCCCAGACUCCUACGGGAGGCAGCAGUGGGGAAUCUUCCGCAAUGGACGAAAGUCUGACGGAGCAACGCCGCGUGAGUGAUGACGGCCUUCGGGUUGUAAAGCUCUGUUAAUCGGGACGAAAGGCCUUUUUGCGAAUAGUGAGAAGGAUUGACGGUACCGGAAUAGAAAGCCACGGCUAACUACGUG